This 991-nucleotide ribosomal RNA is filed under the name Laminatubus paulbrooksi. RNAcentral's name for it is "SSU rRNA". It matches the Rfam family "Eukaryotic small subunit ribosomal RNA", at positions 31 to 964 of the family's 1831-position model. Lineage: Eukaryota; Metazoa; Annelida; Polychaeta; Sabellida; Serpulidae. The record is from RNAcentral.
CUGUCUCAAAGAUUAAGCCAUGCACGUGUAAGUACACGCCUUAGUAUGGUGAAACUGCGAAUGGCUCAUUAAAUCAUAUGUGAUUUCUUAGAUCGUUGCGUCCUUUCGGGGACGACUGGAUAACUGUGGCAAUUCUAGAGCUAAUACAUGCAAUCAAGCUCCGACCUCACGGGACGAGCGCUCUUAUUAGACCAAGGCCAACCUGCUAGUUCGCUGGCAGUUUGCUGUGGUGACUCUGGAUAAAGCUCAGUUAAUCGCAUGACCUUUGCGUCGGCGAUGUAUCUUUCAAGCGUAUGCCCUAUCAGCUGUCGACGGUAGGGUAGCGGCCUACCGUGGCAAUUACGGGUAACGGGGGAUCAGGGUCCGAUCCCGGAGAGUAAGCCUGAGAGACGGCUUAUACAUCUAAGGAAGGCAGCAGGCGCGCAAAUUACCCAAUGGGGACACCCUGAGGUAGUGACAAGAAAUAACAAUACGCGACUCUUUCGAGGCCGCGUAAUUGGAAUGAGCACAUUCUAAAUCCUUUAGCGAGGAUCAAUUGGAGGGCAAGUCUGGUGCCAGCAGCCGCGGUAAUUCCAGCUCCAAUAGCGUAUAUUAAAGUUGCUGCAGUUAAAAAGCUCGUAGUUGACAUCCGACGCUCGUCUCGGCGGUCCUGUUCACGCAGGCACUGCCUUGACGGCAUCUACACACUGGCUUGCGGUCGUGCACGCUCGGCGACGGGUAGCACAGAUCGGAGCCCCGGGUGCCCUUCAUUGGGUGCCCGCGGGUGGCCUUUGCGUUUACUUUGAAGAAAUUAGAGUGUUCAAAGCGGGCUCUUGACAGCUCGUAUACUCGGUACAUGGAAUAAUGGAAUAGGACCCUGGUUCAUUUCCGUUGGUCUAUGGGCAAUGGGUAAUGAUUAAAAGGGACUGCCGGGGGCAUUGGUAUGGCGGGGGGAGAGGUGAAAUUCUGUGAUCCUCGCCAGACUGACUACAGCGAAAGCAUUUGCCAAGAA